RNAcentral lists this ribosomal RNA (159 nucleotides) under Plenodomus lingam (blackleg of rapeseed fungus). RNAcentral's name for it is "Leptosphaeria maculans (blackleg of rapeseed fungus) 5.8S ribosomal RNA". It matches the Rfam family "5.8S ribosomal RNA". From Rfam's summary of the family: 5.8S ribosomal RNA (5.8S rRNA) is a component of the large subunit of the eukaryotic ribosome. It is transcribed by RNA polymerase I as part of the 45S precursor that also contains 18S and 28S rRNA. The record is from RNAcentral. RNAcentral also lists the same sequence under 1 other name. Lineage: Eukaryota; Fungi; Ascomycota; Dothideomycetes; Pleosporales; Leptosphaeriaceae.
AACUUUCAACAACGGAUCUCUUGGUUCUGGCAUCGAUGAAGAACGCAGCGAAAUGCGAUAAGUAGUGUGAAUUGCAGAAUUCAGUGAAUCAUCGAAUCUUUGAACGCACAUUGCGCCCCUUGGUAUUCCAUGGGGCAUGCCUGUUCGAGCGUCAUUUGU